Molecule: ribosomal RNA, 242 nt
Filed under: uncultured Actinomycetales bacterium
Lineage: Bacteria; Bacillati; Actinomycetota; Actinomycetes; Actinomycetales
Description: partial 16S ribosomal RNA
Rfam family: Bacterial small subunit ribosomal RNA
Source: RNAcentral
UACUCGAGUGGCGAACGGGUGAGUAACACGUGGGUGAUCUGCCCUGCACUUCGGGAUAAGCCUGGGAAACUGGGUCUAAUACCGGAUAGGAGCCAUUUUUAGUGUGAUGGUUGGAAAGUUUUUUCGGUGUAGGAUGAGCUCGCGGCCUAUCAGCUUGUUGGUGGGGUAAUGGCUACCAAGGCGGCGACGGGUAGCCGGCCUGAGAGGGUGUACGGCCACAUUGGGACUGAGAUACGGCCCAG